UUCAAAUAAAAUACCUGCUAAUUAAAGAUUUAUGGCGGUUGAAAUUGCCAUGUUCAAGUAUUUAUGUGGCUUAUGUUUGCAUCCGUUUGAAAUAUACAUGUUUAACACGUGUAAUUAAGGCAAUAUUGUUUUAAAUGUGUCGAGUUGCCAUGCAUGACGUCAUACACGUUAACUCGAGUUUAGCGUAAAUAACUGGAACAAAUAAUAUAUCAUAAAACAGAUCGGUAUAACGUUAAUCUUGGUGGUAUAGAUAGAUUAAAUGUGUACAUAGUUUUCUUGGGUCGAACUCAUGGCCGAACCUCAUAAUUGCAGUUAUAUUAAUGCCCGAUAGAGGGCGAUGUGGUCGUACUGUUAGUUCAAAGAUGCACUAAGACGAAGAAGAAUGCUGUUAACAUUACUCUGCGUGUGCUCUGUUGCUUCACUUUGGUUAUACAAAAAAAAAACUUUGGUUACACGAAGAAAAAAAACUUUGGUUACACAGACUUUUUAGAUGAUUGUUUUUUGUAAACAGUUCGUUAUCAUUAAUAGUCCGUUAAAAAAAAAAAGCUGUAUUAUUUGACGAUAUUACUGUUACAAUUGCUUCAUGUAAUCACAGCAGAAGUUGUGUAAAUAACGCAAUUUAAACUUUAGCUUCUUUUGUCAGCAAUGGCAGUGUUUGCAUGCUGUGUUGAAGGCAAGCUUAAACUUGAUGAUUGGAAAGUAGGAAGAACAUGCUGGUUAAGGUGAAACUAGGGGAUGCCCAAAAAUGUGUCAAAAUAUCUGAGCUAAGACUGAAGGAUUUUUUGUCUGCAG
This is a long non-coding RNA of Paramisgurnus dabryanus, 792 nucleotides long. RefSeq lists it as uncharacterized. Lineage: Eukaryota; Metazoa; Chordata; Actinopteri; Cypriniformes; Cobitidae. The record is from RefSeq and is a predicted model, not a curated record.